GAUCAUGGCUCAGGAUGAACGCUGGCGGCGUGCCUAACACAUGCAAGUCGAACGGACUUACAUUGAAGCCUAGCGAUAUGUAAGUUAGUGGCGGACGGGUGAGUAACGCGUGGGUAACCUGCCUUGUACUGGGGGACAACAGUUGGAAACGACUGCUAAUACCGCAUAAGCGCACAGCUUCGCAUGAAGCAGUGUAGAAAACUCGGUGGUACAAGAGUCGGACCCGCGUCUGUAUUGUCG
This 240-nucleotide ribosomal RNA is filed under the name uncultured bacterium. RNAcentral's name for it is "partial 16S ribosomal RNA". It matches the Rfam family "Bacterial small subunit ribosomal RNA", at positions 15 to 247 of the family's 1533-position model. The record is from RNAcentral.